This 460-nucleotide ribosomal RNA is filed under the name uncultured bacterium. RNAcentral's name for it is "partial 16S ribosomal RNA". It matches the Rfam family "Bacterial small subunit ribosomal RNA", at positions 338 to 795 of the family's 1533-position model. The record is from RNAcentral.
CCUACGGGUGGCAGCAGUGAGGAAUAUUGGUCAAUGGACGAGAGUCUGAACCAGCCAAGUAGCGUGAAGGAUGACUGCCCUAUGGGUUGUAAACUUCUUUUAUAAAGGAAUAAAACGAGGCACGUGUGCCUUUUUGCAUGUACUUUAUGAAUAAGGAUCGGCUAACUCCGUGCCAGCAGCCGCGGUAAUACGGAGGAUCCGAGCGUUAUCCGGAUUUAUUGGGUUUAAAGGGAGCGUAGAUGGGUUGUUAAGUCAGUUGUGAAAGUUUGCGGCUCAACCGUAAAAUUGCAAUUGAUACUGGCAGUCGUGAGUACAGUUGAGGUAGGCGGAAUUCGUGGUGUAGCGGUGAAAUGCUUAGAUAUCACGAAGAACCCCGAGUGCGGAGGCAGCUUACUAAACUGUGACUGACAUUGAUGCUCGAAAGUGUGGGUAUCAAACAGGAUUAGAGACCCCAGUAGUC